UCUCCGUUGGUGAACCAGCGGAGGGAUCAUUAGAGGGUCGCGAGACCUCCCUAAUACCUUCAACCAACCCGCGUACCUACCCGAGGGGGCCCUAGCGGCCACAAACAUGAUGCCUCGGUCGGCGGCCCCAGGGGGGGCCUCUGCCUGCGCGCCUUCCGGGGCGCGUGGGUGCCGGCCGGCGGCCAAAAACAAAACCUGAACGUUAUAAUAACAAUUCUUUACAAACCAAAACCAUUACAACCUGCAACGAUGGAUCUCUUGGCUCUG
This 267-nucleotide unclassified non-coding RNA is filed under the name plant metagenome. RNAcentral describes it as "partial contains small subunit ribosomal RNA, internal transcribed spacer 1, and 5.8S ribosomal RNA". The record is from RNAcentral.